GUUGUACUCCCUCCGUCCGGAAAUACUUGUCAUCAAAAUAGAUAAAAAGGGAUGUAUCUAGAAGUACAUCCCCUUUUAUCCAUUUUGAUGACAAAUAUUUUCGGACGGAUACAUCCCCUUUUAUCUAUUUUGAUGACAAAUAUUUCCGGAUGGAGGGAGUACAAC
Non-coding RNA from Triticum aestivum (bread wheat), 165 nucleotides. NCBI's taxonomy places the organism in Eukaryota, Viridiplantae, Streptophyta, Magnoliopsida, Poales, Poaceae. The record is from Rfam.